RNAcentral lists this transfer RNA (76 nucleotides) under Candidatus Moanibacter tarae. Its description in RNAcentral is "Candidatus Moanabacter tarae tRNA-Gly". It matches the Rfam family "tRNA". From Rfam's summary of the family: Transfer RNA (tRNA) molecules are approximately 80 nucleotides in length. Their secondary structure includes four short double-helical elements and three loops (D, anti-codon, and T loops). The record is from RNAcentral. Lineage: Bacteria; Pseudomonadati; Verrucomicrobiota; Opitutia; Puniceicoccales.
GCGGGCGUAGCUCAGCUGGUAGAGCACCACCUUGCCAAGGUGGAUGUCGUGAGUUCGAACCUCAUCGCCCGCUCCA